GGGGAUAUAGCUCAGUGGCACAGCACCUGCCUGGCAAGCAUGAGGUUGUAAGUUCGAUUCCUGGUACCA
This 69-nucleotide transfer RNA is filed under the name Cavia porcellus (domestic guinea pig). It matches the Rfam family "tRNA". Rfam says of the family: Transfer RNA (tRNA) molecules are approximately 80 nucleotides in length. Their secondary structure includes four short double-helical elements and three loops (D, anti-codon, and T loops). Further hydrogen bonds mediate the characteristic L-shaped molecular structure. tRNAs have two regions of fundamental functional importance: the anti-codon, which is responsible for specific mRNA codon recognition, and the 3' end, to which the tRNAs corresponding amino acid is attached (by aminoacyl-tRNA synthetases). tRNAs cope with the degeneracy of the genetic code in two manners: having more than one tRNA (with a specific anti-codon) for a particular amino acid; and 'wobble' base-pairing, i.e. permitting non-standard base-pairing at the 3rd anti-codon position. The record is from Rfam by way of RNAcentral. Lineage: Eukaryota; Metazoa; Chordata; Mammalia; Rodentia; Caviidae.